AUGGGAACAGCACAGCCGCAUAUCCGACCUGCCGCCCGUUCGGGUGGCUUGGGAGUGCGGCGGUGC
Molecule: non-coding RNA, 66 nt
Filed under: unclassified sequences
Description: S15-Halobacteria ribosomal protein leader
Rfam family: S15-Halobacteria ribosomal protein leader
Source: RNAcentral